This 425-nucleotide ribosomal RNA is filed under the name uncultured bacterium. RNAcentral's name for it is "partial 16S ribosomal RNA". It matches the Rfam family "Bacterial small subunit ribosomal RNA", at positions 354 to 796 of the family's 1533-position model. The record is from RNAcentral.
GUGGGGAAUCUUGCGCAAUGGGCGAAAGCCUGACGCAGCCAUGCCGCGUGAAUGAUGAAGGCCUUAGGGUUGUAAAAUUCUUUCGUCAGGGAUGAUAAUGACCGUACCUGAAGAAGAAGCCCCGGCUAACUUCGUGCCAGCAGCCGCGGUAAUACGAAGGGGGCUAGCGUUGUUCGGAAUUACUGGGCGUAAAGCGCACGUAGGCGGACUUUUAAGUCAGGUGUGAAAUCCCGGGGCUCAACCUCGGAACUGCAUUUGAAACUGGAAGUCUUGAGAUCAGGAGAGGUUAGCGGAAUACCGAGUGUAGAGGUGAAAUUCGUAGAUAUUCGGUGGAACACCAGUGGCGAAGGCGGCUAACUGGACUGAUACUGACGCUGAGGUGCGAAAGUGUGGGGAGCAAACAGGAUUAGAAACCCCAGUAGUCC